This 1276-nucleotide ribosomal RNA is filed under the name Escherichia coli. RNAcentral's name for it is "partial 23S ribosomal RNA". It matches the Rfam family "Bacterial large subunit ribosomal RNA", at positions 769 to 2027 of the family's 2925-position model. Lineage: Bacteria; Pseudomonadati; Pseudomonadota; Gammaproteobacteria; Enterobacterales; Enterobacteriaceae. The record is from RNAcentral.
GAGGACCGAACCGACUAAUGUUGAAAAAUUAGCGGAUGACUUGUGGCUGGGGGUGAAAGGCCAAUCAAACCGGGAGAUAGCUGGUUCUCCCCGAAAGCUAUUUAGGUAGCGCCUCGUGAAUUCAUCUCCGGGGGUAGAGCACUGUUUCGGCAAGGGGGUCAUCCCGACUUACCAACCCGAUGCAAACUGCGAAUACCGGAGAAUGUUAUCACGGGAGACACACGGCGGGUGCUAACGUCCGUCGUGAAGAGGGAAACAACCCAGACCGCCAGCUAAGGUCCCAAAGUCAUGGUUAAGUGGGAAACGAUGUGGGAAGGCCCAGACAGCCAGGAUGUUGGCUUAGAAGCAGCCAUCAUUUAAAGAAAGCGUAAUAGCUCACUGGUCGAGUCGGCCUGCGCGGAAGAUGUAACGGGGCUAAACCAUGCACCGAAGCUGCGGCAGCGACGCUUAUGCGUUGUUGGGUAGGGGAGCGUUCUGUAAGCCUGUGAAGGUGUGCUGUGAGGCAUGCUGGAGGUAUCAGAAGUGCGAAUGCUGACAUAAGUAACGAUAAAGCGGGUGAAAAGCCCGCUCGCCGGAAGACCAAGGGUUCCUGUCCAACGUUAAUCGGGGCAGGGUGAGUCGACCCCUAAGGCGAGGCCGAAAGGCGUAGUCGAUGGGAAACAGGUUAAUAUUCCUGUACUUGGUGUUACUGCGAAGGGGGGACGGAGAAGGCUAUGUUGGCCGGGCGACGGUUGUCCCGGUUUAAGCGUGUAGGCUGGUUUUCCAGGCAAAUCCGGAAAAUCAAGGCUGAGGCGUGAUGACGAGGCACUACGGUGCUGAAGCAACAAAUGCCCUGCUUCCAGGAAAAGCCUCUAAGCAUCAGGUAACAUCAAAUCGUACCCCAAACCGACACAGGUGGUCAGGUAGAGAAUACCAAGGCGCUUGAGAGAACUCGGGUGAAGGAACUAGGCAAAAUGGUGCCGUAACUUCGGGAGAAGGCACGCUGAUAUGUAGGUGAAGUCCCUCGCGGAUGGAGCUGAAAUCAGUCGAAGAUACCAGCUGGCUGCAACUGUUUAUUAAAAACACAGCACUGUGCAAACACGAAAGUGGACGUAUACGGUGUGACGCCUGCCCGGUGCCGGAAGGUUAAUUGAUGGGGUUAGCGCAAGCGAAGCUCUUGAUCGAAGCCCCGGUAAACGGCGGCCGUAACUAUAACGGUCCUAAGGUAGCGAAAUUCCUUGUCGGGUAAGUUCCGACCUGCACGAAUGGCGUAAUGAUGGCCAGGCUGUCUCCACCC